CGUUGAAUUUUUAAAGUUCAAGGUAUUUUUCUAACUAAAAUUGAGAGAUAUUUUUGUAUCUAUAUUUUUGAAAAAAAAAUUAAAAUCUAAAUUUGAAAGUUGAAUCCAAGAUUUGAAAGGAAGAGAAUUGAAAUCAAAUUCUGUAAAUUGAAUGUGUAUAUAUUUGAUUUGAAUUGAUUUUGAUGAUUUAUCUUAAAUUCUUCUCUUACGCUUUUUGAUGC
RNAcentral lists this long non-coding RNA (221 nucleotides) under Elaeis guineensis (African oil palm). RNAcentral describes it as "long non-coding RNA (EGUI_LNC024341)". Lineage: Eukaryota; Viridiplantae; Streptophyta; Magnoliopsida; Arecales; Arecaceae. The record is from RNAcentral.